AGUGCUCGGCGGGGUUCAGGCAGGUCCGGGGGAAGAGGGAGUGGAUGAAGCCUGCGAGAGCCGGAAGCUGCGGGGAGGCAGAGAGACGCCCGCAAAACUCUAGGCGCAGAGUCUCCGGGGUUUCCAGCCGGAUUCCUAGGGGAGGCGCGAAAACCCGAUCUAAACUGAGGUUACUGGAGGGACUCCUGGCCGGCACUCUUUUCUCCUGAAGAGGUCGUUUAGGGGGGCUCAGGCGUGGCCACUCCUUCCCCUGGAAGAAGUGUGAGCGCAGGGCCCUCGCCGGGUGAGGGGGCCGGCGGCGCUCACACUGUCCCUGCCGCCGCGGCACAGUCCUGCCCCGGCCCAGAAGAGACUGGGGCAGCAUGAAUGUGCUGGAAGAUUAGAGGCUGCUGAUGCUGAAGGAAGGAGAAACGAGGAGGAAGUGUCCCUGUGGACAAGUCAUCUCCCUUCAUUUAAGCCAGGGAAGGCUGGGAGGUAUGAAUUUGAAGCUGGACACGUUGCUGCUCCCCUUAAAGUUUGGAUUAUUUUACUAAAGAAGAAGAGAACAGGCAGAGUCUCACUGUUUUCCAGUCUGGCCUCAAACUCCUGGGCUCUAGAGAUCCUCCCACCUCAGUCUCCUGAGUAGUUGAAACUACUGGUGUGCACCACUGCACCUGGCUAAUGGUGUUUUUUUUUUUUUAUGAGUAAAAUUUUACAUUUUCAUGAAGUCUAAUUUAUUAGAUGUUUUCUCUAAUGGUCUUUAAAGUUUUGUGCCUUAAAAAAUAUUUCUCUACUCUAAGAUCAUGAAGAUAGUCUCCUAUAUAUUUUUAGGAACUUUAUAUGUUAACUUUCACAUUUAGGUUUAUGAUUUAUCUUAAUUUUUUUUGUGUGAAUGGUGUGAGGUAGGAGGUCAAGUUUCAUUUUUAAGAUAUAAAUUCAAAUUUCUCCAUACUAUUUAUUGAAAAUGUUUUUCUUUUCCCUUUGAGUUGUUGAGCAUCUUCAUUGAAAAUCAAUUGAAGGCUGGGUGUGGUGGCUCACACCUGUAAUCCCAGCACUUUGGGAGACCGAGUCAGGUGGAUCACCUGAGGUCAGGAGUUCGAGACCAGCCUGAUCAACAUGGAGAAACCAAGUCUCUCCAAAAAAAAAAAAAA
Molecule: long non-coding RNA, 1130 nt
Organism: Homo sapiens (human)
Lineage: Eukaryota; Metazoa; Chordata; Mammalia; Primates; Hominidae
Product: long intergenic non-protein coding RNA 237
Source: Ensembl